This is a small nucleolar RNA of Phyllopteryx taeniolatus (common seadragon), 215 nucleotides long. RefSeq annotates it as small nucleolar RNA U3. Lineage: Eukaryota; Metazoa; Chordata; Actinopteri; Syngnathiformes; Syngnathidae. The transcript has a single exon. The record is from RefSeq and is a predicted model, not a curated record.
AAGACUAUACUUUCAGGGAUCAUUUCUAUAGUUGUUAACUAGAGAAGUGCGUUUCUAAAGUGAUUGGUCUCGCCAACCACGAUGAAGAGAGGCGAUAUUCCUUCCUGAGCGUGAAGCUGGCGGAGAAUAAUGAUUCUGUCAUAUGUUCUCUUCCAUUGAUGAACGUUCUUUGCUUCUUAAUGGAGCAUUGAUGGAAGGAAUAUGUUCAGAGUGGU